AGGCAGCUACUGGAAUAUAUGUGACACAAAAACAGGGAAAUAAACCAAAAAAGAGAAAGAUGUGGGAUCUUGGACAAGGAGCUCCAAUAGAAGAAAGAAAGUCCAGGAUAAUGCAAAGGCAAUCCUAAGGCUGGGGCUUGCAGAUACCAUGCUGCCACUCCCUACUCCUGCGCCCACAGAAGACAUGCUGAUUGGACAAGACCCUCCUCCUACUGAGUCCAGAAUUCCAUGACUAAGCAAGGAAAAGGCCAUAGACAGCAACUGAGCAGAAACUUCAAGCUCCAUCUAGUGUAGAACUGAACACUUCCA
This 309-nucleotide long non-coding RNA is filed under the name Equus asinus (donkey). RNAcentral's name for it is "lncRNA (ENSEASG00005026961.1)". The record is from RNAcentral. Lineage: Eukaryota; Metazoa; Chordata; Mammalia; Perissodactyla; Equidae.